RNAcentral lists this ribosomal RNA (375 nucleotides) under uncultured bacterium. RNAcentral describes it as "bacterial SSU rRNA". It matches the Rfam family "Bacterial small subunit ribosomal RNA", at positions 525 to 896 of the family's 1533-position model. The record is from RNAcentral.
ACGUAGGAGGCGAGCGUUAUCCGGAGUUACUGGGCGUAAAGCGUGCGCAGGCGGUUCUGUAAGUGGCUUGUGAAAGCGCCCGGCUAAACCGGGCGAGGACAGGUCAGACUGCAGGGCUGGGAUGGAACAGAGGGCUGUGGAAUUCCGGGUGUAGCGGUGAAAUGUGCAGAGAUCCGGAGGAACACCAGAGGUGAAGACGGCGGCCUGGGUUCCAAUCGACGCUGANGCACGACAGCGUGGGGAGCGAACGGGAUUAGAGACCCCGGUAGUCCACGCCGUAAACGAUGCAGACUAGAUGUUCGUGCCGGGAAACCGGGAUGAGCGUCGCAGCUAACGCGAUAAGUCUGCCGCCUGGGGAGUACGGUCGCAAGACUA